UGGGGGAUAUUGCACAAUGGGCGAAAGCCUGAUGCAGCGACGCCGCGUGAGGGAAGACGGUUUUCGGAUUGUAAACCUCUGUCUUCGGGGACGAAAAUGACGGUACCCGAGGAGGAAGCCACGGCUAACUACGUGCCAGCAGCCGCGGUAAUACGUAGGUGGCAAGCGUUGUCCGGAAUUACUGGGUGUAAAGGGAGAGUAGGCGGGAUUGCAAGUCCGUUGUUAAAUCUAUCGGCUUAACCGGUAGCUGCGGCGGAAACUGUAGUUCUUGAGUGAAGUAGAGGCAGGCGGAAUUCCUAGUGUAGCGGUGAAAUGCGUAGAUAUUAGGAGGAACACCAGUGGCGAAGGCGGCCUGCUGGGCUUUAACUGACGCUGAGGCUCGAAAGUGUGGGGAGCAAACAGGAUUAGAUACCCUGGUAGU
RNAcentral lists this ribosomal RNA (421 nucleotides) under uncultured Oscillospiraceae bacterium. RNAcentral's name for it is "bacterial SSU rRNA". It matches the Rfam family "Bacterial small subunit ribosomal RNA", at positions 355 to 794 of the family's 1533-position model. The record is from RNAcentral. Lineage: Bacteria; Bacillati; Bacillota; Clostridia; Eubacteriales; Oscillospiraceae.